AUCAGCCUUUCGGGUGCGAUUCUGUGGGGUUUGAGGAGCUUAACACCUUCAUGCUUUGCAUAUUCGUGCUCUUGGGUGUACUUGCCCGUGUGGUUGGUUAACAUCAAUUUUGGUGGUCAUGAAAUGACUGGAGGAAUGUAGCUUCGAUCUUGUAUUGAAGUGUUAUAGCCUUCGGUAGAUGUGAUGAUCGAGAUUGAGGAUUGCAACGGAUACCCUUCGGGGCUACCUGUCUGAUCUCUGAUCGUUGUUCUGGUGCCGAAAGCUUGCUUACGGUUAUCAAAGUCGAUGGUCAAUAGGUUAGAACGGGUUAAAUUCGUUAAGGAUGUUGACGUAAUGGCUUU
Molecule: ribosomal RNA, 341 nt
Filed under: uncultured Glomeromycotina
Lineage: Eukaryota; Fungi; Glomeromycota
Description: eukaryotic LSU rRNA
Source: RNAcentral